This 903-nucleotide long non-coding RNA is filed under the name Manihot esculenta (cassava). RNAcentral describes it as "long non-coding RNA (MESC_LNC004340)". The record is from RNAcentral. Lineage: Eukaryota; Viridiplantae; Streptophyta; Magnoliopsida; Malpighiales; Euphorbiaceae.
CUCCCUCCAUUUCCGCAAAUUAUAAUAAACUUUCUCAUAAUUAUCCAUGGUUUAGGGUUUAAAGCACAUCAUUCUCUUCUUGAAUGUUUAUAACAUUUUUUUAAAUAAUAUUAUUAUAAUAUAAUCUUUCUUUAUUUAUUUACACUUCCAACUUCUAACCCACUUGAGUUCACUAGUCUUUAUUUUUUUUUUUGUUGGACUUUGGGCCUCAUGCUUAGAUUUAAUUGCUGUCUGCUUAAUGCAUUCUAAUUUACCUUCUUUUUUUAAAAUUUAAAAAAAAAAAGGCAUUGUGGAAAGAUAAAACUUGGAAAUAAUCCUAACACCUUUGGAAAAAAAAAAAAACGCCUGCAAAGCAUGAACUAAACAAGACUUAAAACUCAAGACCUUAUAAUUCUGAAAACAAUUUCAUUACGAUUAAACUAUGACUUACCCAUUAAGGGCAACAUAAAAGGUCCUCUAUUCAAGGGGUGCCCGGAGGUGCGUCUUGAUUGUUAUCAUAACCACCGAAAGCUUGCCUUGGAAUGUUGUGAUGGUUAUUUAUUAAUUCAGGCUCACCACCCACAUCUGAAUUCUUCUUCACCUCCGAGUUAUUAUCAUUUUGCUUGAUUUCCAUCACAGACGCCGACUUCUCACCUCCAUUCAUCAUCAUCCUCCUGUUGAUGGCAAAACUGAAGUUGGCCAUGACAAGAAGAAACAGGAAGGCGGCUAAGAACCUCAUGGAGAAAUUUUUUUAAUGGAGUUGGCCUUUCUUGAAGGCAGCUAGAAGAAGAUGUGGGGAUUCUUAUAGAAGAAAGAAAAAAUCUGAUCGUGGAGUUUGCUGUAAGGUCUAGAUAGAUUAGUGGAGUAAUGGGCAAGAAGUAAUGGUGCAACUCCACGUAUUAAUUUGUGAAUAGUAAAAGAGCA